CGGAAAAAGAAGAGUGGCGAACGGGUGAGUAACACGUGGGUAACCUGCCCAUCAGAAGGGGAUAACACUUGGAAACAGGUGCUAAUACCGUAUAACAAUCGAAACCGCAUGGUUUUGAUUUGAAAGGCGCUUUCGGGUGUCGCUGAUGGAUGGACCCGCGGUGCAUUAGCUAGUUGGUGAGGUAACGGCUCACCAAGGCCACGAUGCAUAGCCGACCUGAGAGGGUGAUCGGCCACAUUGGGACUGAGACACGGCCCAAACUCCUACGGGAGGCAGCAGUAGGGAAUCUUCGGCAAUGGACGAAAGUCUGACCGAGCAACGCCGCGUGAGUGAAGAAGGUUUUCGGAUCGUAAAACUCUGUUGUUAGAGAAGAACAAGGAUGAGAGUAACUGUUCAUCCCUUGACGGUAUCUAACCAGAAAGCCACGGCUAACUACGUGCCAGCAGCCGCGGUAAUACGUAGGUGGCAAGCGUUGUCCGGAUUUAUUGGGCGUAAAGCGAGCGCAGGCGGUUUCUUAAGUCUGAUGUGAAAGCCCCCGGCUCAACCGGGGAGGGUCAUUGGAAACUGGGAGACUUGAGUGCAGAAGAGGAGAGUGGAAUUCCAUGUGUAGCGGUGAAAUGCGUAGAUAUAUGGAGGAACACCAGUGGCGAAGGCGGCUCUCUGGUCUGUAACUGACGCUGAGGCUCGAAAGCGUGGGGAGCAAACAGGAUUAGAUACCCUGGUAGUCCACGCCGUAAACGAUGAGUGCUAAGUGUUGGAGGGUUUCCGCCCUUCAGUGCUGCAGCUAACGCAUUAAGCACUCCGCCUGGGGAGUACGACCGCAAGGUUGAAACUCAAAGGAAUUGACGGGGGCCCGCACAAGCGGUGGAGCAUGUGGUUUAAUUCGAAGCAACGCGAAGAACCUUACCAGGUCUUGACAUCCUUUGACCACUCUAGAGAUAGAGCUUCCCCUUCGGGGGCAAAGUGACAGGUGGUGCAUGGUUGUCGUCAGCUCGUGUCGUGAGAUGUUGGGUUAAGUCCCGCAACGAGCGCAACCCUUAUUGUUAGUUGCCAUCAUUUAGUUGGGCACUCUAGCAAGACUGCCGGUGACAAACCGGAGGAAGGUGGGGAUGACGUCAAAUCAUCAUGCCCCUUAUGACCUGGGCUACACACGUGCUACAAUGGGAAGUACAACGAGUCGCGAAGUCGCGAGGCUAAGCUAAUCUCUUAAAGCUUCUCUCAGUUCGGAUUGUAGGCUGCAACUCGCCUACAUGAAGCCGGAAUCGCUAGUAAUCGCGGAUCAGCACGCCGCGGUGAAUACGUUCCCGGGCCUUGUACACACCGCCCGUCACACCACGAGAGUUUGUAACACCCGAAGUCGGUGAGGUAACCUUUGGAGCCAGCC
This 1384-nucleotide ribosomal RNA is filed under the name Enterococcus durans. RNAcentral describes it as "bacterial SSU rRNA". It matches the Rfam family "Bacterial small subunit ribosomal RNA", at positions 82 to 1454 of the family's 1533-position model. The record is from RNAcentral. Lineage: Bacteria; Bacillati; Bacillota; Bacilli; Lactobacillales; Enterococcaceae.